UUGAAUUACAGCCAUCAUGGCCAUGACAGCCAUGAUAAAAUCACUAAUUCCGCUGCUCAAAAGAUAAAGUGAACUCCGAGCGAUGUAUUUAGUGCUAAGUCUGACAUGACGAAGGGCCCUUACUCUGUAUACUAGUCACUCGACCUUGAAGAUGGCCGAAUUACCAUCCUCGUCCUCCUGCCUAUAGCCUGAUAGCCUAGUCCUCCUUUAUUCAAAGGCUGCCCACCUUUGAACGCAUCAAUACCUUCCUGACAACUCUCCUGUCCGUCCUGAGAAAGGCAUCAUCUGUUGACGUGGAAAUAAACGAGGAACAAUGUGUUGAUCUGUUCCAGGAUUUUCCAAAGAUUUUUCUUGUUCAUUUCAAGUUGGCUGGAGUUGGGAGGAAUGAAUCUUUUGACCAAUAAAUAUCUCCGUUAUGAUUAUGAUGACCACCAGUAUGAGAGUGACCAACCUACCAUAGAGUUGUCACAUUUGCGGAGGUAAGACUGACGUGUUUGGAUAUAGACGUGAAAAAGUUUAAGCAGAUGCACCACCCAAUAUGAUUCUCCUCACGUUGACACGUAGGGUCUGUAAAUUUUACUAGAGCUUAUGAUAUGUUGAAGAAAGAGGACCGGAAGGAGUUGAUGUUUAUUUUAAGGUGUUUGUUAUUCCUAUCAAAUGACUCUGCUGUAACUUUUCUGCCAAGAGUGUAGAAAGUGAAAUAGGGAGGGGAUGCUGAAACCGGCCACAUGACAGAGAGAGCUGUAUUAUUUCCUUAAAAACAAACUGUGUUGAUAUACUGCUGUUGGAAGACAUUGAUAGUCCUGUAAACUAUUUGCUAAAUGCUAUUUAAUUGUAAUAUAAAUUGCAUGCAUUGCCAUUUUUGCUCCCCUCGGCAGCUGGUGCAGUGGAGUUGUGUCCGUCGUCGUCUUUGUCACGGCGCCAUAUGUUAGCAGCGCACAUUUCAUUACUUCUGGAAGUACUGAGCGAGUUUUUCAAGGUCAAAGAGGUCAAAAAGCAUCAAUUACCCAUUAUUUCUUUGAUCAGUUAUUGCUUUGAUCUAAUCUAUACUUGCUUUCAUGGAGAUAAUGCCAAGUUAAGGUAAAUGCCAAGUGAGUGACUUACCUUGUUUUUAACAACCAGGCACUCGACUAAUGAUCAUAUUAUCAUUAUUUCAAUAACAGAUACCUCUCUGACCAGCGUUUUUGGCUCACCAGUCUAUACAAUAGCCCAGUGUCUGGUGGCAGCAAUUGUGACAAUUUGGCAAAAAGAGGGGUAUGUUUCUUUAAACUCUUGGGCUUUGAACUUGGAACAUUAUACAAUUGAAGAGAAUCAUUCGUCAUGUAGUAAUCGAGAGAUUCUUCAAACAAUGACGAAGUAUUUGAGUGUUAAAGAACUAACCUCCCAAAUUUUUUAUGUCAACUGUCCAUCUCAUGUUGUGACCACUUGGUCCGUGAUUGAUUCCAUCGAGAUCAUUGACGAGGAGUCACGAAAACGCCACCGAAAGAUCAAGGAGGCAGUGCACAUACUACUUCAUAAAGCCAAGCUGAACCAAAACAAUGGAUGGGAGCUUCCUACCUGCCGCUGCUCCGCAAGGAGGCGGUGGGGGGGACCUAGACGAACUCAAGCCUUGGACCUAGCCUCGUUCCAAGAAUGAGACUAGGUCACUCCGUGAUCAAGAUGGACAGUUGACAUCGAAAACUUUGAGAUUAGUUCCUUAACUCUUUCAGCCCUAGCCGAUUUUGAUGCAACAACUUCCAGAUCCUACCCAAUUUUCGGGAAAAAUCAGGAUUUCGGAAAUUAUUAAAAAAAAAUCUACUACCCCUAUCACUAAUUGCUGGGCACCAUCAGAAAGGUCUUGAU
Long non-coding RNA from Lineus longissimus, 1842 nucleotides. RefSeq lists it as uncharacterized. The record is from RefSeq and is a predicted model, not a curated record. NCBI's taxonomy places the organism in Eukaryota, Metazoa, Nemertea, Pilidiophora, Heteronemertea, Lineidae. The transcript is spliced from 4 exons.